This 260-nucleotide ribosomal RNA is filed under the name uncultured bacterium. Its description in RNAcentral is "partial 16S ribosomal RNA". It matches the Rfam family "Bacterial small subunit ribosomal RNA", at positions 332 to 590 of the family's 1533-position model. The record is from RNAcentral.
UGCAGCCUACGGGACGCAGCAGUGAGGAAUAUUGGUCAAUGGGCGCGAGCCUGAACCAGCCAAGUCGCGUGAGGGAAGACGGUCCUAUGGAUUGUAAACCUCUUUUGUCGGGGAGCAAAAGACGCCACGUGUGGCGUUCCGAGAGUACCCGAAGAAAAAGCAUCGGCUAACUCCGUGCCAGCAGCCGCGGUAAUACGGAGGAUGCGAGCGUUAUCCGGAUUUAUUGGGUUUAAAGGGUGCGCAGGCGGAAGAUCAAGUCA